This 255-nucleotide ribosomal RNA is filed under the name uncultured Glomus. RNAcentral describes it as "partial 18S ribosomal RNA". It matches the Rfam family "Eukaryotic small subunit ribosomal RNA", at positions 624 to 886 of the family's 1831-position model. Lineage: Eukaryota; Fungi; Glomeromycota; Glomeromycetes; Glomerales; Glomeraceae. The record is from RNAcentral.
AAGCUCGUAGUUGAAUUUCGGGGUCAGUAGGUUGGUCGUGCCACCGGUACGUACUGGUCUCACUGAUUCCUCCUUCCUGAUGAGCUGUAAUGCCAUUAAUUUGGUGUUGCAGGGAAUCUGGACUGUUACUUUGAAAAAAUUGAGUGUUUAAAGCAGGCUAACGCUUGAAUACAUUAGCAUGGAAUAAUGAAAUAGGACGUUCGAUCCUAUUUGUGGUUUCUAGGAUUGACGUAAUGAUUAAUAGGGAUAGUUGGG